AUACGAAAGGUGCAAGCGUUGUUCGGAUUUACUGGGCGUAAAGAGAUCGUAGGUGGUUUGUUAAGUUGGAUGUGAAAUCCCGGGGCUCAACCUCGGAACUGCAUCCAAAACUGGCAGACUUGAGUUCGGGAGGGGUAAGCGGAAUUCCGUGUGUAGCAGUGAAAUGCGUAGAUGUACGGAGGAACACCUGAGGCGAAGGCGGCUUACUGGACCGAUACUGACACUGAGGAUCGAAAGCGUGGGUAGCAAACAGGAUUAGAAACCCCAGUAGUCC
Molecule: ribosomal RNA, 274 nt
Filed under: uncultured bacterium
Lineage: Bacteria
Description: partial 16S ribosomal RNA
Rfam family: Bacterial small subunit ribosomal RNA
Source: RNAcentral